Molecule: ribosomal RNA, 460 nt
Filed under: uncultured bacterium
Lineage: Bacteria
Description: bacterial SSU rRNA
Rfam family: Bacterial small subunit ribosomal RNA
Source: RNAcentral
UACGGGAGGCAGCAGUGGGGAAUAUUGCACAAUGGGCGCAAGCCUGAUGCAGCCAUGCCGCGUGUAUGAAGAAGGCCUUCGGGUUGUAAAGUACUUUCAGCAGUGAGGAAGGUGGAUAUGUUAAUAGCAUAUUCAUUUGACGUUAGCUGCAGAAGAAGCACCGGCUAACUCCGUGCCAGCAGCCGCGGUAAUACGGAGGGUGCGAGCGUUAAUCGGAAUUACUGGGCGUAAAGCGCAUGCAGGUGGUUUGUUAAGUCAGAUGUGAAAGCCCGGGGCUCAACCUCGGAAUUGCAUUUGAAACUGGCAAACUAGAGUACUGUAGAGGGGGUAGAAUUUCAGGUGUAGCGGUGAAAUGCGUAGAGAUCUGAAGGAAUACCGGUGGCGAAGGCGACCCCCUGGACAGAUACUGACACUCAGAUGCGAAAGCGUGGGGAGCAAACAGGAUUAGAUACCCUGGUAG